Molecule: long non-coding RNA, 468 nt
Organism: Homo sapiens (human)
Lineage: Eukaryota; Metazoa; Chordata; Mammalia; Primates; Hominidae
Gene: BCDIN3D-AS1
Product: BCDIN3D antisense RNA 1
Source: Ensembl
CGUCUAGAACAGAGAAAACUAAGAUGGGGUCGUCCCCCCAGUAAUCUGGAAAACAGUUACAGCAACAGGCUCCUCUCAUCAGACGGCAGUGCUGGUCGUUUCCUCACUGGUUUGCGGGGAAGGCUGGGCAGAAAAAGGAUGCAACCUUGUUCUCAACCACUUGCUAUCUCGUGAUUCAGGGAUUGGAUGAGUCUCUAUGGUUUGUUUUGCCCUGAAGAGCAGAAGGCUUCUGUCCCAACUGGUGUUGCCAAAGCAACAUAUUAAUUCCAUGCCAUGAUCCUGGGUCAAGAUCUGCACAAUCUGAUUGGGCAUGUCACCUCGGAUGGCAAGGGAGUGGAAGUGGUCAAAAUCAUGGAGUCCCAGCUUUCGGAGACGCCUUGCAGCUGCCCGGUGAAGAAAAUGCACAAUGGAAACCACCCAGAUGUCCAGUGAUAGUGGCAUGGACAAAUAAAUGUGGUAUAAUCAUGA